AUUGAACGCUGGCGGCAUGCUUUACACAUGCAAGUCGAACGGCAGCACGGGGCAACCUGGUGGCGAGUGGCGAACGGGUGAGUAAUGCAUCGGAACGUGCCAUUGAGUGGGGGAGUAACGUAGCGAAAGUUAGCGCUAAUACCGCAUAUUCUGUGCGCAGGAAAGCAGGGGACCGGCAAGGCCUUGCGCUCUUUGAGCGGCCGAUGUCAGAUUAGCUAGUUGGUGAGGUAACGGCUUACCAAGGCGACGAUCUGUAGCGGGUCUGAGAGGAUGAUCCGCCACACUGGAACUGAGACACGGUCCAGACUCCUACGGGAGGCAGCAGUGGGGAAUUUUGGACAAUGGGCGGCAAGCCUGAUCCAGCCAUGCCGCGUGAGUGAAGAAGG
RNAcentral lists this ribosomal RNA (386 nucleotides) under uncultured bacterium. Its description in RNAcentral is "bacterial SSU rRNA". It matches the Rfam family "Bacterial small subunit ribosomal RNA", at positions 30 to 414 of the family's 1533-position model. The record is from RNAcentral.